AAUCUCUUCGGAGAAUUGUAUCCGAGUGUCCUUGGGUGGUCAGUGCGAGCAAGUUGCUUGGGAUAGCACGCCAUGGAGGGUGAGAGCCCCGUCCAUCUCGCACAGGAUCCAUCCGCACAAGGGCGCUUCAACCGAGUCGGGUAGCUUGGGAAUGCUGCUCUAAUUGGUGGUAAAUCUCAUCAAAGGCUAAAUAACGGUGGGAGACCGAUAGCGAACAAGUACCGUGAGGGAAAGAUGGAAAGAACUUUGAAAAGAGAGUGAAAAGAACUUGAAACCGUCACGGGGGAAGCGGAUUGCGUGAGUGGUGGUGCCGCUUGUUCAGCGCUUUUUUAGGCGUGCAUUCUGGCGGUACCUUGUCGUCGUGGCUGGCUGGCUACGUGAUUUUGACGUGCCGGCUGGUGAGGGCUCCCUUCGGGUGAGGACGACGACAAAAUGACGCAAUACGACCCGUCUUGAAACACGGACCAAGGAGUCUAGCACGGCUGCGAGUCGAAGGGUGUAAAACCCAAGGGCGCAGUGAAAGCGAAUUUAUAAGCAAAUUGGGGAGGCGUGGCGUUUUUAACAAAAUGUCCUACCUCGAGCAUUUGUGCUGGGACCCGAAAGAUGGUGAACUAUGCCGGAGUAGGGCAAAGCCAGAGGAAACUCUGGUGGAGGCUCGUAGCGAUGCUGACGUGCAAAUCGCUCGUCGAACUUGGGUAUAGGGGCGAAAGACUAAUCGAACCAUCUAGUAGCUGGUUCCCUCCGAAGUUUCUCUCAGGAUAGCGGGCCGACAUUUUGUUGUUUUGUGCGGUAAAGCGAAUGAUUAGUGCAUUUGGGGUCUGAUAGACUUCAGGCGAUUCUCAAACUUUAAAUGCGCAAGGGGGUGGCUGCUUAAUUGAGCCUACUCUUUGAAAAACGUCGGCCCUGUGGGCCACUUUUGGUAAGCAGAACUGGCGAUAAGGGAUGAACCUUAAGCGCGGUUAAGGCGCCGCAUUGCCCGCUUAUAGACCCCACAAAAGGUGUUGAUUCAUUUAGACAGCAGGACGGUGGCCAUGGAAGUCGGAAUCCGCUAAGGAGUGUGUAACAACUCACCUGCCGAAUGAAUUAG
RNAcentral lists this ribosomal RNA (1087 nucleotides) under Helminthocladia rhizoidea. Its description in RNAcentral is "eukaryotic LSU rRNA". It matches the Rfam family "Eukaryotic large subunit ribosomal RNA", at positions 133 to 1309 of the family's 3401-position model. Lineage: Eukaryota; Rhodophyta; Florideophyceae; Nemaliales; Liagoraceae. The record is from RNAcentral.